Molecule: long non-coding RNA, 846 nt
Filed under: Mus musculus (house mouse)
Lineage: Eukaryota; Metazoa; Chordata; Mammalia; Rodentia; Muridae
Description: long non-coding RNA chr11:104671262-104672108
Source: RNAcentral
GGCCUCUUAAUACAGUCCCGAGACACGGGAAACCAAAGGUAGAAGAGGCUGCUGCCAGGGAGAAGGACAUACCUUUUCACAGGAAACCUUGAAGAAAAAGUAUACACUAAAAUAAUGUUUGGAACAUAGCACGGUAAAUACAUAAGCGGCAACAGAGCUAUUGUCAAGUAUUCUGUACUGUACACAACCGAUGUGUUGUACUUUGGCAGCAACACAUUUACAUAUGAAUAACAAGCAUUUUUGAUAGCUAUGAUAACACCUAGUGAUAUGAAAAUUCAGCUCUCUUACAAUCUCAUGAGACCACUGUCAUGUAUACAAAAUGUUGUCAUGUAUCAUGUAAGGAUUGAAUAAUAAAUGCAGAGACCCACAGCCAUACAUUUUACACACACACACAUACACACACACACACACACACACACACACACACACACACUAAAUAGGUUCCUUGAACACUCAGCUGGCACAUUUAAGUGGUUAGGUAUCACCAUCAAAUCUCCCCUCCCCCGUCCAGAGCUCAGGGACCCCAUGGAAGAGAAGGCUGACAGAGUGUAGGAGCCAGAGGGGAUGGAGGACACUGAGGAGACAAGACCCUCUAAAUCAGUAUGAACUAAACUCCUAUGAAGUCUCAGAGACAGAAGCAGCGUGGAUGGGGCUGUAUGGGUCCACACCAGACGCUCUGCAUGUAUAUCACAGCAUUCAGGUUAGUGUUCUAUGGGACUUCUGAGUGUGUGAAUAACUGCGCCUCUGAUUCUUGUGCCUUCUCUUGGGCUCUUUUCCUUCAGUUGGUUUGUCUUGUCCAACUUUGACAUGGUAAUUUUUUUAUUAUAUUUUAUUUUGUUGUAUUUU